GUACAGCCUGAAAGGACAGCAUAGUCCACACUGCUCUCAGCAUCCUGGUGACAUGGAGCUGCAGAUGGUGUGGCUGGUUCAAUGGAGAGGGCAGCAUUGCCAUCCCAUAGGAGUUGGUUACAGCCUAUGGAGCAGCUGCCAAAGUGGCCUUUGAUCAGGCCAAAUCUGGGUGCCCCUCCCUGCAGCCAGGCCUGGCUUAUGCUCCUGCCCUUUUGGUGUCAGCUGGAAUCCCCAGUUCUGCUUCCACAUUACAAGCCCCAGAGGGGAGGCAGCAGGAGAGACAACUAUAAAUAUUCCCAAACCCAUCCCUCGUACAGAGAGAGAAAGAUUACCAAUGCCGUGGCUCAGUCAGUUGCCAUAUUUGUUAGUGCAGCAACAGGACCUCCUGAUAGCACACUGCUCAUGCUCCAGCCCUAUGGAAUAAAGCUGGUCAAUCCCCUGUGGGGAUCAGAGUCUGUGGUCAGCCUGUCUCCAAGGACAAGACUCUGCUUUAGUGCACCAGCCAAAGAAGCACCUGGUUUGUCAGUCAGAGGCGUGUGCACUGGAGAGAGAAACCACCCCAUACUUUCCUUUGUUGGGGAAGGGGGUAUCAGGCAGUGGGCAGCAAAAGCCUUUUAAGCCUGCUUCUCAGAAAUACUAGGAAGCCCUCAACGCCAACUGGGACUGGUUAGGGUAUGGUGUGCUCAUCCCUGCUGAACAUCAGCCCCUAGCAUUCUUAGAAGGUGCCCAGCUCUGUGACUCAAGUCAUCUUUAGGUGGGUGCAUGAUAGGAGUAGAAGAAUCUGCUUUCUCCCCAGGUUAUAGCUAAUUCAGGGUGUACAUAUCAGGACAGAGAGGGGAGGAAAGCAUGAGCCAGACAAACCCCACAGUGAUGAGUGCCAAAGAAAGAUGUGCUAGGAAGGGAACUAGGCUGUGGAUCGCAGCCGUGUCAGAGGAACAGUGUUUGAAACAAUCAAACCUGCCAAACACACAUGGGCUCCCUUCAUCUCUGUUCUCCAGAACAGGAACAGAAAAUGUGAUUUACGUACAGGCUGCAGUUACCAGUGUUUAUACCUUCUGCAGCCCUCACAAGAGAGGUGCGAUCUUGAGAAAGGUUGGGAUACUGAUAACCUCCCCUUCUGUACUCAAAUGAGCAAAUAUUUAGUUCCAAGCAAUAGAAGAAAAGAGAACAGAGUCUGAUGGCAAAGGGGAGGGAGAGCUUGUGUUACAGCUCCUGGUUUGGGAGGUCAAAGACACCACAUCACAGAAAAGCACCUGUUCCCUAUCCUGACAGGAGGCUGCUUCUGAAACUGGGAUUAGACACAAAGUGGGGGUGCAUCACUCCCCCUUUAAAACUAAAUCCUUCACUGCUUUGUUUCUACAGGAACAUGAUUCUCAUUUUAGUUAGGAAAACCAAGGCAGAGAUCUUCCAAGGCACCUGGAAUCCCCCAAAAGCUUCAAUGGUAGCUGUGCAUUGAUCCCCAAUAAAAGCCACUUGCGUAAGGUUAAGCAGCAAGUGGCAAAACCAGACUUGAAAUCCAAGAAAUCCUUGGAGGUCAGGUCUGGGCUCAGGUCACCUCUCUCCCCAAGACAGACUAGCAGUUAUAGGAUGUUUGCCAGUGAGAACAGCUGCACUGCAAUACAGAGGCAGGGAUAUUGGCAGUAGCAGCUUUGGAGCCUAUCCAUCCAUCUAUCAACAUUGUUGGCAUCUCACUGCAGAAUGCUAUGAGCAUCUGUCCAAGUUUCUGGCUUCUCAUGCCUCAACUAACAAAUGUUAAAGGGUCCCAGAAUGGAAAGACAGGAAUGGAAAGUAUCCCAAAAUCUCCUGCUAGUACCCCAGGGGACAAACAUAUACCCAAUACUGGAUGACUAUUGGAAUCAGCACAGGUGGGUGUUGAGCCUCUCUUGACAGCAGUGUGCCUGGAAAGUCCUAGACUGACAAGGCUCUGGAAACUAAUGGGCUCCAUUUAGCAUGUCACAUGGCAGAGAGAGCACAGGGUGUGACUGUACAAGCUUCCUCACAUCACUCCCCAUGUGCCUCACAUCUCAGCUUAGAAGACCUCUUCUCCUGGACAGGCAGCCCGGUUUCCAGUAAAUGUUUAAUCUCUACCUUUCUACCAAACCCCAACACCCUGGUGCCAACUGUGGUGGCUUUAAUGUGUCCAGCAGAACUAGGCUGAAACUGCGUUGGGACUUUUUGAGCUAAGUUCUUGAGUCUAGGAAUCAACAUGUGCUUUCAAAAACCUAAACAAAAAUCUUUUCCACAAAGCAAAUGCAGGAAGAUGAAAAAUCAGGCUGUGGCCCUGCUAAAUGGUAAGCCACAGGAAAUAUACAUCAUUAGGUGUUACAGCCCAUAGGAUGAUAGUAUGGGCAGCCUGGGGGUAUGACAUACAGGGGAGCAAUAUCAGAAAGAACAUUUGUAAAGAGCAACUUUUAUACAAAAAAAUAAAAUAAAAAUCAAAUAUUUCCACUGGAAAGCCCCUCCUUCCCACUUCCCCUCUCCAUUCAGAGAACAGAAACACAUGAUUAACAGACUGUUACAAUGCACAGGCUGCACACACCAUGUUGCAACACUGCAAGUCUGUGUCAGAGUAGUUUGGUGCUCUUGAGAAGGAACAAACAUCCAGAGAAACAUACAGGUCCCUUUAAGAGUUCGGCGACACUAAAACAUACCCUAAAAUUCCCUUGACCCCUUUAGGUUUUAUACUAAACAAAACCCCAGAGUUUACUUUUGAA
This is a long non-coding RNA of Gavialis gangeticus (Gharial), 2714 nucleotides long. RefSeq lists it as uncharacterized. The transcript has 2 exons. The record is from RefSeq and is a predicted model, not a curated record. Lineage: Eukaryota; Metazoa; Chordata; Crocodylia; Gavialidae.